CGAACCGGGGGAACUGAAACAUCUAAGUACCCCGAGGAAAAGAAAUCAACCGAGAUUCCCCCAGUAGCGGCGAGCGAACGGGGAGCAGCCCAGAGCCUGAAUCAGUAUGUGUGUUAGUGGAAGCGUCUGGAAAGGCGCGCGAUACAGGGUGACAGCCCCGUACACAAAAAUGCACAUGCUGUGAGCUCGAUGAGUAGGGCGGGACACGUGGUAUCCUGUCUGAAUAUGGGGGGACCAUCCUCCAAGGCUAAAUACUCCUGACUGACCGAUAGUGAACCAGUACCGUGAGGGAAAGGCGAAAAGAACCCCGGCGAGGGGAGUGAAAAAGAACCUGAAACCGUGUACGUACAAGCAGUGGGAGCACGCUUAGGCGUGUGACUGCGUACCUUUUGUAUAAUGGGUCAGCGACUUAUAUUCUGUAGCAAGGUUAACCGAAUAGGGGAGCCGAAGGGAAACCGAGUCUUAACUGGGCGUUAAGUUGCAGGGUAUAGACCCGAAACCCGGUGAUCUAGCCAUGGGCAGGUUGAAGGUUGGGUAACACUAACUGGAGGACCGAACCGACUAAUGUUGAAAAAUUAGCGGAUGACUUGUGGCUGGGGGUGAAAGGCCAAUCAAACCGGGAGAUAGCUGGUUCUCCCCGAAAGCUAUUUAGGUAGCGCCUCGUGAAUUCAUCUCCGGGGGUAGAGCACUGUUUCGGCAAGGGGGUCAUCCCGACUUACCAACCCGAUGCAAACUGCGAAUACCGGAGAAUGUUAUCACGGGAGACACACGGCGGGUGCUAACGUCCGUCGUGAAGAGGGAAACAACCCAGACCGCCAGCUAAGGUCCCAAAGUCAUGGUUAAGUGGGAAACGAUGUGGGAAGGCCCAGACAGCCAGGAUGUUGGCUUAGAAGCAGCCAUCAUUUAAAGAAAGCGUAAUAGCUCACUGGUCGAGUCGGCCUGCGCGGAAGAUGUAACGGGGCUAAACCAUGCACCGAAGCUGCGGCAGCGACGCUGAUGCGUUGUUGGGUAGGGGAGCGUUCUGUAAGCCUGCGAAGGUGUGCUGUGAGGCAUGCUGGAGGUAUCAGAAGUGCGAAUGCUGACAUAAGUAACGAUAAAGCGGGUGAAAAGCCCGCUCGCCGGAAGACCAAGGGUUCCUGUCUAACGUUAAUCGGGGCAGGGUGAGUCGACCCCUAAGGCGAGGCCGAAAGGCGUAGUCGAUGGGAAACAGGUUAAUAUUCCUGUACUUGGUGUUACUGCGAAGGGGGGACGGAGAAGGCUAUGUUGGCCGGGCGACGGUUGUCCCGGUUUAAGCGUGUAGGCUGGUUUUCCAGGCAAAUCCGGAAAAUCAAGGCUGAGGCGUGAUG
RNAcentral lists this ribosomal RNA (1346 nucleotides) under Escherichia coli. Its description in RNAcentral is "partial 23S ribosomal RNA". It matches the Rfam family "Bacterial large subunit ribosomal RNA", at positions 180 to 1568 of the family's 2925-position model. Lineage: Bacteria; Pseudomonadati; Pseudomonadota; Gammaproteobacteria; Enterobacterales; Enterobacteriaceae. The record is from RNAcentral.